This 315-nucleotide long non-coding RNA is filed under the name Phoenix dactylifera (date palm). RNAcentral's name for it is "long non-coding RNA (PDAC_LNC002926)". The record is from RNAcentral. Lineage: Eukaryota; Viridiplantae; Streptophyta; Magnoliopsida; Arecales; Arecaceae.
CCCACUCCCUUGCUUCGCAAAGAUCUCGCUUGGUCAUCAGUCCUAUCCUAUCUAUAUAUUGAUCAUACGGCCUUCAAUGUUGCAUGUCUCACUGGUGGGUCACGACAGUAGCACAUUUGACAUUAGUGUCAUCAAUUGACCAUGGUUGCUUGCUCUGGUUUUGCAGAGCAGAGGUAGUUUCUAGCUUGCUGUGGGUGGAUUUUCUGUUUCGAUCUGGUCGUGUUUGUGCCACUCUGGAUUGAGUGAUUUAGGAAAUAAUUUAUAUUUAUUUUGACUUUGAUUUGGAUCCUAAGUGUUAAAAGUUGGGAGAAAUAA